This 134-nucleotide transfer RNA is filed under the name Candidatus Aenigmatarchaeota archaeon. Its description in RNAcentral is "tRNA-Ile". It matches the Rfam family "tRNA". From Rfam's summary of the family: Transfer RNA (tRNA) molecules are approximately 80 nucleotides in length. Their secondary structure includes four short double-helical elements and three loops (D, anti-codon, and T loops). Further hydrogen bonds mediate the characteristic L-shaped molecular structure. tRNAs have two regions of fundamental functional importance: the anti-codon, which is responsible for specific mRNA codon recognition, and the 3' end, to which the tRNAs corresponding amino acid is attached (by aminoacyl-tRNA synthetases). tRNAs cope with the degeneracy of the genetic code in two manners: having more than one tRNA (with a specific anti-codon) for a particular amino acid; and 'wobble' base-pairing, i.e. permitting non-standard base-pairing at the 3rd anti-codon position. Lineage: Archaea; Nanobdellati; Candidatus Aenigmatarchaeota. The record is from RNAcentral.
GGGCUCGUAGCUCAGCCUGGUUAGAGCGUCGGUCUUAUAAGCCGAAGGUCUGGGGUUCGAAACACGGGUCGCAUUUGUAAAUGCGUUUUGACUUGCUUAGCAAGUCUUUGUAUGUGAAUUUCCCCACGAGCCCA